UACGAAGGGGGCUAGCGUUGUUCGGAAUCACUGGGCGUAAAAGGCGCGUAGGCGGCUUUAUAAGUCGGGGGUGAAAGCCUGUGGCUCAACCACAGAAUUGCCUUCGAUACUGUAGAGCUUGAGACCGGAAGAGGUAAGUGGAACUGCGAGUGUAGAGGUGAAAUUCGUAGAUAUUCGCAAGAACACCAGUGGCGAAGGCGGCUUACUGGUCCGGUUCUGACGCUGAGGCGCGAAAGCGUGGGGAGCAAACAGG
Molecule: ribosomal RNA, 253 nt
Filed under: uncultured bacterium
Lineage: Bacteria
Description: partial 16S ribosomal RNA
Rfam family: Bacterial small subunit ribosomal RNA
Source: RNAcentral